AAGUCGUAACAAGGUUUCCGUAGGUGAACCUGCGGAAGGAUCAUUAACACUUUACAAAAAACAAAACUCAAAAUUUCCCUUUUGAAUCCCUCUCUUUUCUUUCUUCUCUCUUCGGAGGGAGAGAGUCAAGAGAUUUUCAAAUUUAAUUUGAACAAAAAUGUGUAACCUUACUUUUUUACUUAUGGAUUUGAGGGCAAGAAAAGAGGGAGUUUUCUCUCUCUCUUCGUGGUUCUCAGAUUUUCUCAUAAACCAGUUAAACCCAAUAAAUCAAAAUAUGGCGUAUCUCAAAGGGACUUUUUGUCUCUCUGACGAUCCCCCAUAGUUAAACCAAAAACAAAAACCAAAAACUAAAAAAAAACAAAAUAAAACACAACUCUUAACAAUGGAUAUCUUGGUUCUCGCGACGAUGAAAAACGCAGC
Molecule: unclassified non-coding RNA, 420 nt
Filed under: fungal sp.
Lineage: Eukaryota; Fungi
Description: partial internal transcribed spacer region
Rfam family: Eukaryotic small subunit ribosomal RNA (bases 1-46)
Source: RNAcentral